Molecule: RNA transcript, 1369 nt
Organism: Scylla paramamosain (green mud crab)
Lineage: Eukaryota; Metazoa; Arthropoda; Malacostraca; Decapoda; Portunidae
Exons: 5
Source: RefSeq, a predicted model, not a curated record
CCACUGCCGCGUGUUUACGUCAAGACAGCGGGCCGCUUACUAGUUUCCUUAGUACUUGUGCGUCCGUGUCAAUACCGUGUGCUGUGAACUGAACGAAGAUAGUCUUCAGUUUUUGGUCGUCUCUUCAUUAUCUCGUGGUGACGUAAAGGUGACGGCCCGUGUGUUAGUUUCCCCGGUAAUUGUGCCUCCGUAACAUUACUGUGUGCAGUGGUCGUGAGAACUGCGAGGCGGCGGUGCAGACUGUGCCGUGGAGAGCCGCGGGGUGUUGGAAUCGCCUGCCAGUCACCUUGAAGGCGUCAUAUUUCCUCCCUGCUCUUCCCCGUGUCUUCCUGUCGAUGUUGAGGGCGUGGGGGCGGGGCGGCCACAGUGCGCCCCUUCACUGUGUUAGACAGGAGGAGAGCGGCAUGGCAGCCUGCAAAAAAUAAGAUUAAAUAAGUGGCACCUCCGAGGCUGCGACAAUGCAGCCGUCUGUCCUUCACGUCAGCUACACGCAUAGCAGCACAUCAACGAGUCCCAUACGUUUUCAACUCCUCUGACGGCCUGGCGUCCCCGCUCGGCCCCUUCCACGACUCGCAGCGAGAGCGAAAGGUCGAGGUGUGGUGGUCUUGUGGCGGAAGGCUGAAGGAGGCGGUGAAGGAGUGAAGGUGUGAAGUGUGUGGCUUCCACUUCACCAUCCUAUGAACAGCCUGCAGGAAUCUCUAUCAACACCUGCUUCUGCAAUAUUGGCAUCUGGUUAUCAAAUAGUGCUGUCACGCUGGGCCUGACAUACUCCAUUGCAAUUGGGGAAUCAAGCUUCACCAGGAAGAGAGGCCGAGCAUCACGACCUUCAAGCCUUCAAGCCCUACAAGAGGUGUUAAGUAUUGUCAGGACAAAACAGAGGGCCUGGUACAAGAGUUUUCAUUGCAAUCAAGGAAGAGUCAAGUUGCAGUAAGAAGAGUGUAGCAAGAAUUUUAAGCAGGAGGAAGACUGUCAAGCAGUUGACGGCAGGAAGAACGCGUGAAAUUCCCUUAAGUCGUGGCAGGACCAACAGGCAACCUUCAACACCUGCAGAGGCACAAGAGUUGUGGGCAGUUUCACCAGGAAGAAUUUGCUCCUCACUCAAGUUGACACAAAGACACAAGAAUUUGCAAGUGUUGUUACUCCGAGACCCUGCUGCAAAUGUUCUCCAAUCCACUCCAGUCUGGGAAGGAAGAAUGUAGGAAGUCCCUCUCUUCUGUACUCAACAAGCACCACCACCUUCAUUCAGGCUUGGGACAAGUUUUGUACAUUCCAGCACUUCAGUAUUAAAGAAAACAAGUGCCAUGUUUAUUAUCCUGUUGUGUAUUUAUUCACUUAACAUUCACAGUAAAACAAUAAACAUUCAGUAUUC